ACGGGAGGCAGCAGUGAGGAAUAUUGGUCAAUGGGCGAGAGCCUGAACCAGCCAAGUCGCGUGAAGGAUGAAGGUUCUAUGGAUUGUAAACUUCUUUUGUUCGAGGGUAAAGUGAGUCACGUGUGGCUUAUUGCAAGUAUCGAACGAAUAAGCCCCGGCUAACUACGUGCCAGCAGCCGCGGUAAUACGUAGGGAGCAAGCGUUAUCCGGAUUUACUGGGUGUAAAGGGCGUGUAGGCGGGACAUCAAGUCAGAUGUGAAAGCACGAGGCUCAACUUCGUGUCUGCAUUUGAAACUGACGUUCUUGAGUGUUGGAGAGGCUAACGGAACUCCUAGUGUAGCGGUGAAAUGCGUAGAUAUUAGGAAGAACACCAGUGGCGAGGGCGGUUAGCUGGACAAUAACUGACGCUGAGGCGCGAAAGCGUGGGUAGCAAACAGGAUUAGAUACCCUGGUA
RNAcentral lists this ribosomal RNA (454 nucleotides) under uncultured Oscillospiraceae bacterium. Its description in RNAcentral is "bacterial SSU rRNA". It matches the Rfam family "Bacterial small subunit ribosomal RNA", at positions 341 to 792 of the family's 1533-position model. The record is from RNAcentral. Lineage: Bacteria; Bacillati; Bacillota; Clostridia; Eubacteriales; Oscillospiraceae.